Molecule: ribosomal RNA, 450 nt
Filed under: uncultured bacterium
Lineage: Bacteria
Description: partial 16S ribosomal RNA
Rfam family: Bacterial small subunit ribosomal RNA
Source: RNAcentral
GUGAGGAAUUUUGGACAAUGGGCGCAAGCCUGAUCCAGCAAUGCCGCGUGCAGGAAGAAGGCCUUCGGGUUGUAAACUGCUUUUGUACGGAACGAAACGGUCCUGGCUAAUAUCCGGGGCUAAUGACGGUACCGUAAGAAUAAGCACCGGCUAACUACGUGCCAGCAGCCGCGGUAAUACGUAGGGUGCGAGCGUUAAUCGGAAUUACUGGGCGUAAAGCGUGCGCAGGCGGUGCUGUAAGACAGGCGUGAAAUCCCCGGGCUCAACCUGGGAAUUGCGCUUGUGACUGCAGUGCUGGAGUGCGGCAGAGGGGGAUGGAAUUCCGCGUGUAGCAGUGAAAUGCGUAGAUAUGCGGAGGAACACCGAUGGCGAAGGCAAUCCCCUGGGCCUGCACUGACGCUCAUGCACGAAAGCGUGGGGAGCAAACAGGAUUAGAAACCCCUGUAGUCC